RNAcentral lists this ribosomal RNA (256 nucleotides) under uncultured bacterium. RNAcentral's name for it is "partial 16S ribosomal RNA". It matches the Rfam family "Bacterial small subunit ribosomal RNA", at positions 524 to 776 of the family's 1533-position model. The record is from RNAcentral.
UACGUAGGGUGCAAGCGUUUGUCCGGAAUUAUUGGGCGUAAAGAGCUCGUAGGCGGUUUGUCGCGUCGGCUGUGAAAGCCCGGAGCUCAACUCCGGGUCUGCAGUCGAUACGGGGCAGACUUGAGUGUUGCAGGGGAGACUGGAAUUCCUGGUGUAGCGGUGAAAUGCGCAGAUAUCAGGAGGAACACCGGUGGCGAAGGCGGGGUCUCUGGGCAACAACUGACGCUGAGGAGCGAAAGCGUGGGGAGCGAACAGG